Non-coding RNA from Podarcis lilfordi (Lilford's wall lizard), 74 nucleotides. The record is from the annotation of a GenBank genome assembly. NCBI's taxonomy places the organism in Eukaryota, Metazoa, Chordata, Lepidosauria, Squamata, Lacertidae.
ACCUGGAUAGCUCACUUGGUUCGAGUGUGGUGCUGAUAACGUCAAGGUUGCAGGUUUGACCCCUGUUUGGGACA